AGGAAAAAAUGACAUAACAGUGGUUAAUAGCAUACAACUAGCAUCCGAAUCGGAUGAGUCGUAUUGCUAUUACAUUGUGAAACAAAAUCCAUGUUAGAAUUAAAGAACAACACAAAAUACAAUAAAAACUGUCCAUCGCACUUGCAUCUGAAUCGGAUGCCUUUGUAUUGUUUUGUAACUUUUUUUGUUUAUUGUUGCAGCUGCUGUUGUACCGUUAUUCAUUUUUGAUGCUUCUUUCUUUUUUGAAGCAAAAUUUUAUUCUGUGAAGUGUUUUUGAAAUUGCAAGUAGUGAAUUUUGAACAAAAGUUAAUAAAAUAAGAAUAUAGUAAGUGUUGUGUGUUAAAUAAGUUAAAUAAAAUGUCAGGAUUCAGUAGGAGUAAUUUAAGACGACUAAAGGAAGUGGAAGCAGACAAUUUAAAAAGAAAUGCACAGUUGAGGACGGACUGUUUGGAAAACAAUGAUAUUCUACAAAAUGAGCAGAUUCCAUGCAUUCCAAAAUUGUAGAAGAUUUUAGAAAAUAUGUAAGAAUAUUAAAAACUCUCCGUUAUAAUCCAUUAAUAAUUUAAAUUCUUUCAGCUAUGAUGGUACCCAAAAUAAAAAGGCGUUUAAGGAAUAUAAAUUUUAAUCAUGGCCAUUUUCGAAGCUGUCAUAUGUGAAGGAUUCAAUGAACAGGAUUAGAAAUUGUUUCAAAUUCCCUAAGGCCAGACACUUCCGAACAAUGUCCUACAAUAUAAAACUGGAAAAAUAUAUUUUUUUUCCUUUAGUUUAAGCUUUAUUUCUUCCCACGUCUUUUGAAUAAGUUUUAUGA
Musca domestica (house fly) is the source of this 808-nucleotide long non-coding RNA. RefSeq lists it as uncharacterized. The record is from RefSeq and is a predicted model, not a curated record. The transcript is spliced from 3 exons. NCBI's taxonomy places the organism in Eukaryota, Metazoa, Arthropoda, Insecta, Diptera, Muscidae.